UGUGUUUCGACACACUAUCAUUAACUGAAUCCAUAGGUUAAUGAGGCGAACCGGGGGAACUGAAACAUCUAAGUACCCCGAGGAAAAGAAAUCAACCGAGAUUCCCCCAGUAGCGGCGAGCGAACGGGGAGCAGCCCAGAGCCUGAAUCAGUGUGUGUGUUAGUGGAAGCGUCUGGAAAGGCGCGCGAUACAGGGUGACAGCCCCGUACACAAAAAUGCACAUGCUGUGAGCUCGAUGAGUAGGGCGGGACACGUGGUAUCCUGUCUGAAUAUGGGGGGACCAUCCUCCAAGGCUAAAUACUCCUGACUGACCGAUAGUGAACCAGUACCGUGAGGGAAAGGCGAAAAGAACCCCGGCGAGGGGAGUGAAAAAGAACCUGAAACCGUGUACGUACAAGCAGUGGGAGCACGCUUAGGCGUGUGACUGCGUACCUUUUGUAUAAUGGGUCAGCGACUUAUAUUCUGUAGCAAGGUUAACCGAAUAGGGGAGCCGAAGGGAAACCGAGUCUUAACUGGGCGUUAAGUUGCAGGGUAUAGACCCGAAACCCGGUGAUCUAGCCAUGGGCAGGUUGAAGGUUGGGUAACACUAACUGGAGGACCGAACCGACUAAUGUUGAAAAAUUAGCGGAUGACUUGUGGCUGGGGGUGAAAGGCCAAUCAAACCGGGAGAUAGCUGGUUCUCCCCGAAAGCUAUUUAGGUAGCGCCUCGUGAAUUCAUCUCCGGGGGUAGAGCACUGUUUCGGCAAGGGGGUCAUCCCGACUUACCAACCCGAUGCAAACUGCGAAUACCGGAGAAUGUUAUCACGGGAGACACACGGCGGGUGCUAACGUCCGUCGUGAAGAGGGAAACAACCCAGACCGCCAGCUAAGGUCCCAAAGUCAUGGUUAAGUGGGAAACGAUGUGGGAAGGCCCAGACAGCCAGGAUGUUGGCUUAGAAGCAGCCAUCAUUUAAAGAAAGCGUAAUAGCUCACUGGUCGAGUCGGCCUGCGCGGAAGAUGUAACGGGGCUAAACCAUGCACCGAAGCUGCGGCAGCGACGCUUAUGCGUUGUUGGGUAGGGGAGCGUUCUGUAAGCCUGCGAAGGUGUGCUGUGAGGCAUGCUGGAGGUAUCAGAAGUGCGAAUGCUGACAUAAGUAACGAUAAAGCGGGUGAAAAGCCCGCUCGCCGGAAGACCAAGGGUUCCUGUCCAACGUUAAUCGGGGCAGGGUGAGUCGACCCCUAAGGCGAGGCCGAAAGGCGUAGUCGAUGGGAAACAGGUUAAUAUUCCUGUACUUGGUGUUACUGCGAAGGGGGGACGGAGAAGGCUAUGUUGGCCGGGCGACGGUUGUCCCGGUUUAAGCGUGUAGGCUGGUUUUCCAGGCAAAUCCGGAAAAUCAAGGCUGAGGCGUGAUGACGAGGCACUACGGUGCUGAAGCAACAAAUGCCCUGCUUCCAGGAAAAGCCUCUAAGCAUCAGGUAACAUCAAAUCGUACCCCAAACCGACACAGGUGGUCAGGUAGAGAAUACCAAGGCGCUUGAGAGAACUCGGGUGAAGGAACUAGGCAAAAUGGUGCCGUAACUUCGGGAGAAGGCACGCUGAUAUGUAGGUGAAGUCCCUCGCGGAUGGAGCUGAAAUCAGUCGAAGAUACCAGCUGGCUGCAACUGUUUAUUAAAAACACAGCACUGUGCAAACACGAAAGUGGACGUAUACGGUGUGACGCCUGCCCGGUGCCGGAAGGUUAAUUGAUGGGGUCAGCGCAAGCGAAGCUCUUGAUCGAAGCCCCGGUAAACGGCGGCCGUAACUAUAACGGUCCUAAGGUAGCGAAAUUCCUUGUCGGGUAAGUUCCGACCUGCACGAAUGGCGUAAUGAUGGCCAGGCUGUCUCCACCCGAGACUCAGUGAAAUUGAACUCGCUGUGAAGAUGCAGUGUACCCGCGGCAAGACGGAAAGACCCCGUGAACCUUUACUAUAGCUUGACACUGAACAUUGAGCCUUGAUGUGUAGGAUAGGUGGGAGGCUUUGAAGUGUGG
This 2009-nucleotide ribosomal RNA is filed under the name Escherichia coli. RNAcentral describes it as "partial 23S ribosomal RNA". It matches the Rfam family "Bacterial large subunit ribosomal RNA", at positions 134 to 2167 of the family's 2925-position model. Lineage: Bacteria; Pseudomonadati; Pseudomonadota; Gammaproteobacteria; Enterobacterales; Enterobacteriaceae. The record is from RNAcentral.